This 753-nucleotide ribosomal RNA is filed under the name uncultured bacterium. RNAcentral describes it as "bacterial SSU rRNA". It matches the Rfam family "Bacterial small subunit ribosomal RNA", at positions 28 to 776 of the family's 1533-position model. The record is from RNAcentral.
GAUGAACGCUAGCGGCAGGCUUAACACAUGCAAGUCGAGGGGUAACGAUGGUGCUUGCAUCAGGCGACGACCGGCGAACGGGUGCGUAACGCGUAUAGAAUCUGCCUUGUACAGGAGGAUAGCCUUUAGAAAUGAAGAUUAAUACUCCAUAAUGUAUUGUAAUGGCAUCAUUAUAAUAUUAAAGAUUUAUUGGUACAAGAUGACUAUGCGUCCUAUUAGUUAGUUGGUAAGGUAAUGGCUUACCAAGGCGGCGAUAGGUAGGGGGUCUGAGAGGAUUAUCCCCCACACUGGUACUGAGACACGGACCAGACUCCUACGGGAGGCAGCAGUGAGGAAUAUUGGACAAUGGGCGGAAGCCUGAUCCAGCCAUGCCGCGUGCAGGAAGACUGCCCUAUGGGUUGUAAACUGCUUUUAUACAGGAAGAAACACCAAUACGUGUAUUGGCUUGACGGUACUGUAAGAAUAAGCACCGGCUAACUCCGUGCCAGCAGCCGCGGUAAUACGGAGGGUGCAAGCGUUAUCCGGAAUCAUUGGGUUUAAAGGGUCCGCAGGCGGUCGAUUAAGUCAGAGGUGAAAUCCCAUAGCUUAACUAUGGAACUGCCUUUGAUACUGGUUGACUUGAGUCAUAUGGAAGUAGAUAGAAUAAGUAGUGUAGCGGUGAAAUGCAUAGAUAUUACUUAGAAUACCGAUUGCGAAGGCAGUCUACUACGUAUGUACUGACGCUCAUGGACGAAAGCGUGGGGAGCGAACAGG